GUGGGGAAUAUUGGACAAUGGGCGAAAGCCUGAUCCAGCCAUGCCGCGUGUGUGAAGAAGGCCUUCGGGUUGUAAAGCACUUUUGUUGGGAAAGAAAUCCUGUCGGCUAAUACCCGGCGGGGAUGACGGUACCCAAAGAAUAAGCACCGGCUAACUUCGUGCCAGCAGCCGCGGUAAUACGAAGGGUGCAAGCGUUACUCGGAAUUACUGGGCGUAAAGCGUGCGUAGGUGGUUCGUUAAGUCAGAUGUGAAAGCCCCGGGCUCAACCUGGGAAUUGCAUUUGAUACUGGCGGACUAGAGUGCGGUAGAGGAGAGUGGAAUUCCCGGUGUAGCAGUGAAAUGCGUAGAGAUCGGGAGGAACAUCAGUUGCGAAGGCGGCUCUCUGGACCAGCACUGACACUGAGGCACGAAAGCGUGGGGAGCAAACAGGAUUAGAAACCCCUGUAGUCC
Molecule: ribosomal RNA, 450 nt
Filed under: uncultured bacterium
Lineage: Bacteria
Description: partial 16S ribosomal RNA
Rfam family: Bacterial small subunit ribosomal RNA
Source: RNAcentral